RNAcentral lists this transfer-messenger RNA (258 nucleotides) under Lactococcus garvieae IPLA 31405. It matches the Rfam family "Bacterial RNase P class B", at positions 35 to 290 of the family's 365-position model. Rfam says of the family: Ribonuclease P (RNase P) is a ubiquitous endoribonuclease, found in archaea, bacteria and eukarya as well as chloroplasts and mitochondria. Its best characterised activity is the generation of mature 5'-ends of tRNAs by cleaving the 5'-leader elements of precursor-tRNAs. The record is from RNAcentral. Lineage: Bacteria; Bacillati; Bacillota; Bacilli; Lactobacillales; Streptococcaceae.
GAGGAAAGUCCAUGCUCGCACGGGCUGCGAUGCCCGUAGUGUUUGUGCUUGGUGAAACAAUAAACCAAGGUAGGAGUGUCAUGCCUAACGGCUGAAGAAAGUGCUAAGUCUUUUGAUAUGCAUGAGUAUUCUGUAAAAGUGCCAAAGAGACGAGACUUACUGGAAACGGUAAGAUUGGAACGUGGUAAACCCCUCAAGCGAGCAACCCAAACAUAUGGUCGGGGCACUUGACUAGCCGAAUUGAAGGCGUGGUCGAGG